Pelobates cultripes (western spadefoot toad) is the source of this 202-nucleotide non-coding RNA. The record is from the annotation of a GenBank genome assembly. Lineage: Eukaryota; Metazoa; Chordata; Amphibia; Anura; Pelobatidae.
GGAUUUAGUAAUUUAUUUUAUAAAAUAUUCAAAGAAUCAAUUUGCCCUUAUAUGACUAGUGCCUUUAACAGUGCGGCUAAAAGAGGAUCUCUUCCAACAGAGAUGUUAAAAGCUAAUAUUCUACCAAUUUUAAAACAAAACAAAAAUCCUACUGAUGUUAAAAAUUACCGUCCAAUAUCCUUGAUAGAUGUUGACACUAAAC